AGAGUUUGAUCCUGGCUCAGGACGAACGCUGGCGGCGUGCUUAACACAUGCAAGUCAAGGAGAACGGAUCCUUCGGGAUACUAUUAAACUGGCGAACGGGUGAGUAACACGUAGGCAACCUACCUCAGAGAUUGGGAUAACUUCGGGAAACCGGAGCUAAUACCGAAUAAUGCAGCGGAUCCUUCGGGAUAUGUUGUUAAAGUGGGCUUCGGCUCACACUUUGAGAUGGGCCUGCGUCCGAUUAGCUUGUUGGUGAGGUAAUGGCUUACCAAGGCGAUGAUCGGUAGCUGGUCUGAGAGGAUGAUCAGCCACACUGGGAUUGAGAUACGGCCCAGACUCCUACGGGAGGCAGCAGUGGGGAAUUUUGCGCAAUGGACGAAAGUCUGACGCAGCAACGCCGCGUGAUCGAUGAAGCUUCUAGGAGUGUAAAGAUCUGUCGUGAGGGAAGAAAAAUCUGGAUGUAAAUAAUGUUCAGACGUGACGGUACCUCACAAGAAAGCACCGGCUAACUUCGUGCCAGCAGCCGCGGUAAUACGAGGGGUGCUAGCGUUGUCCGGAAUUACUGGGCGUAAAGGGUUCGUAGGCGUCUUGCCAAGUUGAUCGUUACAGCCACCGGCUUAACCGGUGAUCUGCGAUCAAAACUGGUAAGAUAGAAUAUGUGAGGGGAAUGUGGAAUUCCUGGUGUAGCGGUGACAUGCGUAGAUAUCAGGAGGAACACCAAUGGCGAAGGCAGCAUUCUGGCACAAUAUUGACGCUGAGGAACGAAAGCGUGGGGAGCGAACAGGAUUAGAUACCCUGGUAGUCCACGCCGUAAACGAUGAGUACUUGGUGGUGGGGGAUUCGACCCCUUCACUAUCGGAGCUAACGCGUUAAGUACUCCGCCUGGGGACUACGGCCGCAAGGCUGAAACUCAAAGGAAUUGACGGGGACCCGCACAAGCGGUGGAACAUGUGGUUUAAUUCGAUGCAACGCGAAGAACCUUACCUGGACUUGACAUGU
This 999-nucleotide ribosomal RNA is filed under the name marine metagenome. RNAcentral describes it as "bacterial SSU rRNA". It matches the Rfam family "Bacterial small subunit ribosomal RNA", at positions 8 to 989 of the family's 1533-position model. The record is from RNAcentral.